RNAcentral lists this ribosomal RNA (395 nucleotides) under uncultured bacterium. RNAcentral describes it as "partial 16S ribosomal RNA". It matches the Rfam family "Bacterial small subunit ribosomal RNA", at positions 523 to 918 of the family's 1533-position model. The record is from RNAcentral.
AUACGUAGGGUGCAAGCGUUAAUCGGAAUUACUGGGCGUAAAGCGUGCGCAGGCGGUUUUGUAAGACAGUGGUGAAAUCCCCCGGCUCAACCCGGGAACUGCCAUUGUGACUGCAAGGCUGGAGUGCGGCAGAGGGGGGUGGAAUUCCGCGUGUAGCAGUGGAAUGCGUAGAUAUGCGGAGGAACACCGAUGGCGAAGGCAAUCCCCUGGGCCUGCACUGACGCUCAUGCACGAAAGCGUGGGGAGCAAACAGGAUUAGAUACCCUGGUAGUCCACGCCCUAAACGAUGUCAACUGGUUGUUGGGGAUUUAUUUUCUCAGUAACGAAGCUAACGCGUGAAGUUGACCGCCUGGGGAGUACGGCCGCAAGGUUAGAACUCAAAGGAAUUGACGGGG